This 305-nucleotide ribosomal RNA is filed under the name uncultured soil bacterium. RNAcentral describes it as "bacterial SSU rRNA". It matches the Rfam family "Bacterial small subunit ribosomal RNA", at positions 26 to 334 of the family's 1533-position model. The record is from RNAcentral.
AGGACGAACGCUGGCGGCGUGCUUAACACAUGCAAGUCGAGCGGUAAGGCCUUUCGGGGUACACGAGCGGCGAACGGGUGAGUAACACGUGGGUGAUUUGCCCUGCACUCUGGGAUAAGCCUGGGAAACUGGGUCUAAUACCGGAUAUGACCUGCUCUCGCAGUGGGGGUGGGUGGAAAGAUUUAUCGGUGCAGGAUGGGCCCGCGGCCUAUCAGCUUGUUGGUGGGGUAAUGGCCUACCAAGGCGACGACGGGUAGCCGACCUGAGAGGGUGACCGGCCACACUGGGACUGAGACACGGCCCAG